Molecule: ribosomal RNA, 176 nt
Filed under: Acheilognathus signifer (Korean bittering)
Lineage: Eukaryota; Metazoa; Chordata; Actinopteri; Cypriniformes; Acheilognathidae
Description: partial 12S ribosomal RNA
Source: RNAcentral
UACCGCGGUUAAACGAGAGGCCCCAGUUGAUGGUAUCACGGCGUAAAGGGUGGUUAAGGGCUGCAACCAAUAAAGCCAAAUAGCCCUCCGGCCGUCAUACGCUUCCAGGCGCUAGAGACCCAAUUACACGAAGGUAGCUUUAAUUAUAUACACCUGACUCCACGAAAGCUGAGGAA